This 329-nucleotide ribosomal RNA is filed under the name uncultured eukaryote. RNAcentral describes it as "partial 18S ribosomal RNA". It matches the Rfam family "Eukaryotic small subunit ribosomal RNA", at positions 1470 to 1796 of the family's 1831-position model. The record is from RNAcentral.
CCCUUAGAUGUCCUGGGCCGCACGCGCGCUACACUGAUGCAUUCAACGAGUUUUACCUUGGCCGAGAGGCCUGGGCAAUCUUUUAAACCUGCAUCGUGAUAGGGAUAGAUUAUUGCAAUUAUUAAUCUUGAACGAGGAAUUCCUAGUAAACGCAAAUCAUCAAUUUGCAUUGAUUACGUCCCUGCCCUUUGUACACACCGCCCGUCGCUACUACCGAUUGAAUGGUUUAGUGAGGACUCCUGAUUGGCGCCGCCGCCCCGGCAACGGAGCAGCGGACUGCCGAAAAGUUGUUCAAACUUGAUCAUUUAGAGGAAGUAAAAGUCGUAACA